RNAcentral lists this long non-coding RNA (275 nucleotides) under Monodelphis domestica (gray short-tailed opossum). RNAcentral describes it as "lncRNA (ENSMODG00000042025.1)". The record is from RNAcentral. Lineage: Eukaryota; Metazoa; Chordata; Mammalia; Didelphimorphia; Didelphidae.
UGCAAAAGGUAUCCUUCCAGCCCAUAACAUUUUGGCGCCCAACAUUUUUGGCUCUCCUGAAAGCUACUCCUAUACUCCUGAUCAUCUAUGAGGACAGAGCUUCUCAGGUGCUGACUCUCCCCUUGUGACCUGUCUAUCCAUCAUGGGAAGCAGUCGCUGGACAUCCCUCACAUCUCCAAGCAGUUGCUUCUAGGGUGAAAGUACUCAUGGGAAUCACCCAGAUGCCAGAUGCCACCAUAACCUCCCAGCCUGAUGCUCUGGAUAUGGCCUACAGU